Long non-coding RNA from Hibiscus syriacus, 983 nucleotides. RefSeq lists it as uncharacterized. The record is from RefSeq and is a predicted model, not a curated record. Lineage: Eukaryota; Viridiplantae; Streptophyta; Magnoliopsida; Malvales; Malvaceae. The transcript is spliced from 2 exons.
UUUGGAAGGGCUCUCAGUUUUUAAAGGAGGGGGACGAUUCGAACAAGGGGGGUUCUCAACGGCAAAAAAAAAAAAAGAAAAAGAAAAAGAAAAGGGAACCAUUCGAGCAAGACAGAGGAGGGAAAUACCAAACAAGAAACAAGCUGUGUAUACUUGUAAAAGUAGUGUAUCCUCUGUUAUUCAAAGAAUAAUAUAAACACAAGGCUCUCUUUCUUUGUCAAGGAAUCAAAGCAAUAUAAAGCAAAUCCAAAAUUAAAUUCCAGAAAUAGAGUGAAUCGUGUUUACUGUCGAAGUAGAGAAAUCGACAAUCGUUGGGGUUCCUUCGUCGGAGUUGUAACUUUUCCGGAGUCGAGUAAAAUUGUCCUGAGUCGUUUGCAUCCUUGUAUAUUUUUUCUUCGGAUUAGUUAUCAUAUUAUGAGAUUUCGAAAAUAAAAAAAGAAAUAGACAAGGUUUAAGUUCUUACCUUAUUGUGGCGAACUCUGAUUGCCAGAUUGAUUGUCCUCAUAGUUGAGAGGCUAGGUGGUCGAGGCGUCGCCGUUUUGGUUGCAAUCGGGGAAGAAGGAGAGAUUGCAGCACUGUUGGAGAAGGAAAGGAGAAGAAAAUGAAGUUAGGGAUUAUUUUUAGCUUAAAAAAUUACAUAUAUCAAAUUAUCAAAACGACUGUGUUUCAAAGGGGUUAUGGUAAUCCGAUUUAGCGCCUGAGGGGGUUAUUCUCUGUAAAUCACGUUAGUUUCUGCCCUAUUCCAUUUUGGUCCUCUUCUAGGAUGUUUGAACUCGUGUUUUUGGCUCCCUGUUUCCGCAUUUUAAGUUUCUGUCCUUAGGUGAUGUUAUUUCAAAUUUUCAUUUAUUUUUGCAUCUGAUGUGAAAUUUUGUUAAGUUGUAAUUUACUCCUAUAUGUAAUUGUGGGUUUAUUUCUUUGGUAGUCACGCAUUUAUUUGUCUUAGCUCAUUUUAGUCCACAAAUAGAGUAUUUCAUGCUUUUUAA